GGGUUGUGAGGUUAAGCGACUAAGCGUACACGGUGGAUGCCCUGGCAGUCAGAGGCGAUGAAGGACGUGCUAAUCUGCGAAAAGCGUCGGUAAGGUGAUAUGAACCGUUAUAACCGGCGAUGUCCGAAUGGGGAAACCCAGUGUGAUUCGUCACACUAUCGUUAACUGAAUACAUAGGUUAACGAGGCGAACCGGGGGAACUGAAACAUCUAAGUACCCCGAGGAAAAGAAAUCAACCGAGAUUCCCCCAGUAGCGGCGAGCGAACGGGGAGCAGCCCAGAGUCUGAAUCAGCUUGUGUGUUAGUGGAACGGUCUGGAAAGUCCGACGGUACAGGGUGAUAGUCCCGUACACCAAAAUGCACAGGCUGUGAACUCGAAGAGUAGGGCGGGACACGUGGUAUCCUGUCUGAAUAUGGGGGGACCAUCCUCCAAGGCUAAAUACUCCUGACUGACCGAUAGUGAACCAGUACCGUGAGGGAAAGGCGAAAAGAACCCCGGCGAGGGGAGUGAAAAAGAACCUGAAACCGUGUACGUACAAGCAGUGGGAGCACCUUCGGGUGUGACUGCGUACCUUUUGUAUAAUGGGUCAGCGACUUAUAUUCUGUAGCAAGGUUAACCGUAUAGGGGAGCCGCAGGGAAACCGAGUCUUAACUGGGCGUUAAGUUGCAGGGUAUAGACCCGAAACCCGGUGAUCUAGCCAUGGGCAGGUUGAAGGUUGGGUAACACUAACUGGAGGACCGAACCGACUAAUGUUGAAAAAUUAGCGGAUGACUUGUGGCUGGGGGUGAAAGGCCAAUCAAACCGGGAGAUAGCUGGUUCUCCCCGAAAGCUAUUUAGGUAGCGCCUCGUGAAUUCAUCUUCGGGGGUAGAGCACUGUUUCGGCUAGGGGGUCAUCCCGACUUACCAACCCGAUGCAAACUACGAAUACCGAAGAAUGUUAUCACGGGAGACACACGGCGGGUGCUAACGUCCGUCGUGAAGAGGGAAACAACCCAGACCGCCAGCUAAGGUCCCAAAGUCAUGGUUAAGUGGGAAACGAUGUGGGAAGGCACAGACAGCCAGGAUGUUGGCUUAGAAGCAGCCAUCAUUUAAAGAAAGCGUAAUAGCUCACUGGUCGAGUCGGCCUGCGCGGAAGAUGUAACGGGGCUAAACCAUGCACCGAAGCUGCGGCAGCGACACUAUGUGUUGUUGGGUAGGGGAGCGUUCUGUAAGCCUGCGAAGGUGUGCUGUGAGGCAUGCUGGAGGUAUCAGAAGUGCGAAUGCUGACAUAAGUAACGAUAAAGCGGGUGAAAAGCCCGCUCGCCGGAAGACCAAGGGUUCCUGUCCAACGUUAAUCGGGGCAGGGUGAGUCGACCCCUAAGGCGAGGCCGAAAGGCGUAGUCGAUGGGAAACAGGUUAAUAUUCCUGUACUUGGUGUUACUGCGAAGGGGGGACGGAGAAGGCUAUGUUAGCCGGGCGACGGUUGUCCCGGUUUAAGCAUGUAGGCUGGUUGUCCAGGCAAAUCCGGAUAAUCAAGGCUGAGGUGUGAUGACGAGGCACUACGGUGCUGAAGUAACAAAUGCCCUGCUUCCAGGAAAAGCCUCUAAGCAUCAGGUAACAUCAAAUCGUACCCCAAACCGACACAGGUGGUCAGGUAGAGAAUACCAAGGCGCUUGAGAGAACUCGGGUGAAGGAACUAGGCAAAAUGGUGCCGUAACUUCGGGAGAAGGCACGCUGGUGUGUAGGUGAAGUCCCUGCGGAUGGAGCUGAGACCAGUCGAAGAUACCAGCUGGCUGCAACUGUUUAUUAAAAACACAGCACUGUGCAAACACGAAAGUGGACGUAUACGGUGUGACGCCUGCCCGGUGCCGGAAGGUUAAUUGAUGGGGUUAUCCGUAAGGAGAAGCUCUUGAUCGAAGCCCCGGUAAACGGCGGCCGUAACUAUAACGGUCCUAAGGUAGCGAAAUUCCUUGUCGGGUAAGUUCCGACCUGCACGAAUGGCGUAAUGAUGGCCAGGCUGUCUCCACCCGAGACUCAGUGAAAUUGAACUCGCUGUGAAGAUGCAGUGUACCCGCGGCAAGACGGAAAGACCCCGUGAACCUUUACUAUAGCUUGACACUGAACAUUGAGCCUUGAUGUGUAGGAUAGGUGGGAGGCUUUGAAGCGUGGACGCCAGUCUGCGUGGAGCCAACCUUGAAAUACCACCCUUUAAUGUUUGAUGUUCUAACGUUGGCCCCUUACCGGGGUUGCGGACAGUGUCUGGUGGGUAGUUUGACUGGGGCGGUCUCCUCCCAAAGCGUAACGGAGGAGCACGAAGGUUAGCUAAUCCUGGUCGGACAUCAGGAGGUUAGUGCAAUGGCAUAAGCUAGCUUGACUGCGAGCGUGACGGCGCGAGCAGGUGCGAAAGCAGGUCAUAGUGAUCCGGUGGUUCUGAAUGGAAGGGCCAUCGCUCAACGGAUAAAAGGUACUCCGGGGAUAACAGGCUGAUACCGCCCAAGAGUUCAUAUCGACGGCGGUGUUUGGCACCUCGAUGUCGGCUCAUCACAUCCUGGGGCUGAAGUAGGUCCCAAGGGUAUGGCUGUUCGCCAUUUAAAGUGGUACGCGAGCUGGGUUUAGAACGUCGUGAGACAGUUCGGUCCCUAUCUGCCGUGGGCGCUGGAGAAUUGAGGGGGGCUGCUCCUAGUACGAGAGGACCGGAGUGGACGCAUCACUGGUGUUCGGGUUGUCAUGCCAAUGGCACUGCCCGGUAGCUAAAUGCGGAAGAGAUAAGUGCUGAAAGCAUCUAAGCACGAAACUUGCCCCGAGAUGAGUUCUCCCUGAGACUUUAAGUCUCCUGAAGGAACGUUGAAGACGACGACGUUGAUAGGCCGGGUGUGUAAGCGCAGCGAUGCGUUGAGCUAACCGGUACUAAUGAACCGUGAGGCUUAACCUUACAACGCCGAAG
This 2923-nucleotide ribosomal RNA is filed under the name Klebsiella pneumoniae. RNAcentral's name for it is "bacterial LSU rRNA". It matches the Rfam family "Bacterial large subunit ribosomal RNA". Lineage: Bacteria; Pseudomonadati; Pseudomonadota; Gammaproteobacteria; Enterobacterales; Enterobacteriaceae. The record is from RNAcentral.